This 84-nucleotide microRNA precursor is filed under the name Bombyx mori (domestic silkworm). RNAcentral's name for it is "mir-2807 microRNA precursor family". It matches the Rfam family "mir-2807 microRNA precursor family". The record is from Rfam by way of RNAcentral. Lineage: Eukaryota; Metazoa; Arthropoda; Insecta; Lepidoptera; Bombycidae.
CUUAUUUAAAUGUGUAUGGAGUUGGAACGUUUGCGUACGUUUGCCGCUAGGGGCGCUGUUCCAACUGCAUAUAAAUUCGAGUUA